This 497-nucleotide ribosomal RNA is filed under the name uncultured bacterium. RNAcentral describes it as "partial 16S ribosomal RNA". It matches the Rfam family "Bacterial small subunit ribosomal RNA", at positions 28 to 507 of the family's 1533-position model. The record is from RNAcentral.
GACGAACGCUGGCGGCGUGCCUAAUACAUGCAAGUAGAACGCUGAAGAGAGGAGCUUGCUCUUCUUGGAUGAGUUGCGAACGGGUGAGUAACGCGUAGGUAACCUGCCUUGUAGCGGGGGAUAACUAUUGGAAACGAUAGCUAAUACCGCAUAACAAUGGAUGACCCAUGUCAUUUAUUUGAAAGGGGCAAAUGCUCCACUACAAGAUGGACCUGCGUUGUAUUAGCUAGUAGGUGAGGUAACGGCUCACCUAGGCGACGAUACAUAGCCGACCUGAGAGGGUGAUCGGCCACACUGGGAAUGAGACACGGCCCAGGCUCCGACGGGAGGCAGCAGUAGGGAAUCGUCGGCAAUGGGGGCAACCCUGACCGAGCAACGCCGCGUGAGUGAAGAAGGUUGUCGGAUCGGAAAGCUCUGUUGUAAGUCAAGAACGAGUGUGAGAGUGGAAAGUGCACACUGUGACGGUAGCUUACCAGAAAGGGACGGCUAACUACGUG